Long non-coding RNA from Acinonyx jubatus (cheetah), 1536 nucleotides. RefSeq lists it as uncharacterized. The transcript has 3 exons. Lineage: Eukaryota; Metazoa; Chordata; Mammalia; Carnivora; Felidae. The record is from RefSeq and is a predicted model, not a curated record.
GUGAAAGGGAGGCCAUAACCCCACCAGCCUGUCUGACCAAGGAGGGGGGGGCAUUACAUUGCUUACCUGUGACAUCACAAGGACAUCCAGCCACCCUUGGUCCUUGCUGCUAACAACCCGAUCCACCCUCCUGAAACUUGCUUACCCAUACAGUGUUUUGGGUGACAGUCACAUGAGCUGACAUAUGUGGAAGGUGCUUUGUAAGCUGGGAAGAGGCCUGUGCGUACAGGAAAGCAUGCUCCGUUGUGACAGAUUUCUCUUGUUGGUCAGAGAUGGGAUGGAAGAGAUGGCAGAAGAGGUGAGGCAUGAGGAGGACUCCCGCCACCAUUGCUGGCUUUGAAGAUGAAGGGGCCCACAAGCCAAAGAAUGUGGUGUGGCUUUUAGAAGCUGAGGACAACACUAGCCCAACAGCCAGCAAGGAAAUGGGGGCCUCAGUCCUGUAAAUGCGUGGACCUAAAUUCUGCCGACAGCCUGCAUGAGCCAGCGAUUACCUUCUCCCCCAGAGCCUUCAGGAAGGAAAGCCGUCCUGCCACCGUGGUUUUAGCCUGGUUUCAGUAAAUACUCUCCCACACGUUUGGAAGUGGAUUUUGUAAUGAGCCUGUGAGACGUGGAGGUGAGGAUGCAAAAGAAGAAGUUGAGCAUCAGUCAAGGCAAGUGCUAAUUGCUUGUUCCUUGGUCUCUCCUAUUACAGAGAACACUAUGACAGUUAUUUAAAAACAAAGGAAGAAAGAGAAAUUAUGAGGGUUUUUUUUUUUAACCAAAUAUGAAAGGGACAAAGGAUGUAGAGAAGUAAGGGGGGAGGAAACUUGUUCAAAUUCACCCGGUGAGUGCCCAGUAGUGGGGUGGGACUGCAUGUUGACUUUGGGCUCUUGUGAGCUGUGGCCUUGGGUAAGUAACUCCAACUUUGUAAGCCUCUGAUUCCUUAUCUGUAAAAUAGGAUUAAUAACAGGAGUCUCUUCAUGAGUUUAUGACCAGGGUUAAACGAGCUAAUGAGUGUGAAGUGCCUGGCCAAUGACCACUGUUCCAUUAAAGUAGCAGCCGCUGCUAGUAAAUUCUAAAGGCCAAAAGGCCAGUCACCUCAGCUCUGGGGCUCUUUUCCUUGGGCAUCAACCACUACAAGCCCAUACUGCCUUGGAAGGAGUGCGCCCCCUUCCGAACAUGUAUGUAUGUUACUCCUGGAUGGGGAAAGAAUGGCAACAUGUAAAUACAGUUGUUGAGAUAUACAGGUGACCCUUGAACAAUGUGGGGAUGAGGGGCACUGACCCCCUGCACAGUCGAAAAUAUAUAUAGCUUUUGACUUCCCCAAAAUUCAACUAGUAAUAGCCUACUGUUGACCGGAAGCCUUAAUGAUAACAUAAAUAGUCAAUUAGCACUUAUUUUGUAUGUUACAUGUAUUAUCUACUGAAUUUUACAGCAAAUUAAGCUAGAAAAAAAAUGUUGAGAAAAUCCAUCUGCAGUUGUAUACUGUAUUUAUCAAAAAACAAAAAUCCACAUGUAAGUGGACCCACACCGUUCAAACCCGUGUUGUUCAAGAGU